GUCAGAAUGGCUUUGCUGAGGUGGGACGGGGGCCGCCCAAGGAAAAAAAAGGGUCAGCUAUGAUGUGUGGGGGCCCAUUCCAGCUCAACCCCAGUAAGGCCAGUGGUUGGGGCAAGGUCUUGACCCUUGCUGGGUCCUUGGAAGCGGCACUUGUGUGGCCCUGGUAAGGCUGUCAGGGGCCUCUAGUGAUGAAGAAGGCCCUGGAGGACGGAAACGCCAUGGUCCAGCCAUCUUCCACUCAGGAUUUAUAUUCCUCCAGAAAAUGAAGCACCAGCAGCAGAGCCGAACACCAAGUCCAGUUCAGAACCUUCCACAGGGCAGCUCCAAUGGCAUGGCUUUACCUAACGAGGCAGCGAGACAGUCCUAAAGCACCUACGAGGCUGGGCCAGGGAACUGCUGACUCUUCUAGUGGGUCCCCUGCUCAGGCAUUCAAUGAACACCAGCUGGGCAUGUGUCACUGUUGGCCAAGACAGACACGGUCCUCAUCCUAGUAGAGACGGCAGACCCUCUUCAGUGCCACAUAGCUGCCCGACUUCAUGCUCCAAGAAGCACAACAGAGGAGAAGCCCAGGCAGCACAAGAAGGGUUC
This is a long non-coding RNA of Tupaia belangeri chinensis (Chinese tree shrew), 588 nucleotides long. RefSeq lists it as uncharacterized. The transcript has 3 exons. The record is from RefSeq and is a predicted model, not a curated record. Lineage: Eukaryota; Metazoa; Chordata; Mammalia; Scandentia; Tupaiidae.